This 440-nucleotide ribosomal RNA is filed under the name uncultured bacterium. RNAcentral's name for it is "partial 16S ribosomal RNA". It matches the Rfam family "Bacterial small subunit ribosomal RNA", at positions 339 to 795 of the family's 1533-position model. The record is from RNAcentral.
CUACGGGCGGCUGCAGUAAGGAAUAUUGCACAAUGGGGGAAACCCUGAUGCAGCAACGCCGCGUGGACGAAGAAGGCCUUCGGGUCGUAAAGUCCUUUUCUGAGGGAAGAGGAAGGACGGUACCUCAGGAAUAAGUCUCGGCUCACUACGUGCCAGCAGCCGCGGUAAAACGUAGGAGGCGAGCGUUAUCCGGAUUCACUGGGCGUAAAGGGCAAGUAGGCGGUUGUUUAAGUUAGGUGUGACAUCUCUCGGCUUAACUGGGAGGGAGCGCUUAAAACUAGGCAACUAGAGGGCGGAAGAAGGGGGUAGAACUCCAAAUGUAGCGGUGGAAUGCUCAGAUAUUUGGAAGAAUACCAGUGGCGAAGGCGACCCCCCGGUCCGUGCCUGACGCUGAGAGGCGAAAGCUAGGGUAGCGAACGGGAUUAGAUACCCCAGUAGUC